This 436-nucleotide ribosomal RNA is filed under the name Labyrinthulomycetes sp. Its description in RNAcentral is "SSU rRNA". It matches the Rfam family "Eukaryotic small subunit ribosomal RNA", at positions 994 to 1449 of the family's 1831-position model. Lineage: Eukaryota; Bigyra. The record is from RNAcentral.
GGGAUCGAAGAUGAUUAGAUACCAUCGUAGUCUCAACCAUAAACUAUGCCGACUAGGGAUCGUCCGAUGUCUGUUUCUAGAUUCGGGCGGCACCUCAUGAGAAAUCAAAGUCUUUGGGUUCCGGGGGGAGUAUGGUCGCAAGGCUGAAACUUAAAGGAAUUGACGGAAGGGCACACCAGAAGUGGAGCCUGCGGCUUAAUUUGACUCAACACGGGAAAACUUACCAGGUCCAGACUUCGCAAGGAUUGACAGAUUGAGAGCUCUUUCUUGAUUCGAAGGGUGGUGGUGCAUGGCCGUUCUUAGUUGGUGGAGUGAUUUGUCUGGUUGAUUCCGUUAACGAACGAGACCUCGGCCUACUAAAUAGUGGCAUCCAUUUCACGAUGGGUUUCGUCGCUUCUUAGAGGGACAAUUCGGUUUUACCGGAAGGAAGUUCGUG